UACGGAGGGGGCUAGCGUUGUUCGGAAUUACUGGGCGUAAAGCGCACGUAGGCGGCUUUGCAAGUCAGAGGUGAAAGCCCGGGGCUCAACCCCGGAAUUGCCUUUGAGACUGCAUCGCUAGAAUUGUGGAGAGGUAAGUGGAAUUCCGAGUGUAGAGGUGAAAUUCGUAGAUAUUCGGAAGAACACCAGUGGCGAAGGCGACUUACUGGACACAUAUUGACGCUGAGAUGCGAAAGCGUGGGGAGCAAACAGG
This 253-nucleotide ribosomal RNA is filed under the name uncultured bacterium. RNAcentral describes it as "partial 16S ribosomal RNA". It matches the Rfam family "Bacterial small subunit ribosomal RNA", at positions 524 to 776 of the family's 1533-position model. The record is from RNAcentral.